Drosophila virilis is the source of this 2386-nucleotide long non-coding RNA. RefSeq lists it as uncharacterized. NCBI's taxonomy places the organism in Eukaryota, Metazoa, Arthropoda, Insecta, Diptera, Drosophilidae. The record is from RefSeq and is a predicted model, not a curated record.
GCAAAACUGUGAUGGCCCAUUACAAUUGUAUAAGCCGAGUCGCUGUUGUUGCACUGCCAGGUACCGAGGGCCUGCAGCUAAAUCCGCAUUCCGCAUGCCGCAUUCGUAACCAAAUCCGCCAUUGUCACUGCCAAAGCAAAUGUCAAUGGUGUUGGCCUUUGGGGUUGAGUGCGGGUUGUGAGGAUCAGGAUGAGGACAACAAAUUGCAUGUCAACAGCUCGCGCAGGGUAUUAUCCCCGACGAGCAGAGUGCAAGAGCGACCCCAUCCAUUCCAGGCGGGAUUAUGGAUGACAAAAACAAGGAUAAUGCAAGGCAUAUGCAAAGCAGCUGACAGACGCAAUCGGGUUGCAUAUGACUAAAGUCCACAUGAAUUCAGUGGGUGAGACUUUGGUAGUGGUCGUGGAUACUGGACGAGAUUGUGCUGGUUAGCUGUAAUACGUUGCAAGUGUGAAUGGUUCAUUAGCAUAUGCUAUGGAAUAAUAAAUAAGUUGGUAUUAUGUUCAUCAAGAAGCGAGCGGAUGGAAAAAGUGCUUGUUAAUUACUGAAUUUUAAUGGAACACAAACAGCUGUAUGGAAUUUUGUUCGAUGCCAAGUGUAAAAACACAUGUACGUAGUUUUUACAUUCAUUUUUUAUUAAUAUCAUUUUACAUCAAAUUCAGAACAAAUAACAUAAUUCUAAAUCCAACACGCAGUUUUUCACAGCGUUUUAUUUGAAUAUUGAAAUCUUAUUAACAUUACAUCAUUUGUUCACAUCUAAAUAUAAGUUAUUAAGAUUCCAGGUUCAAUGGAAACAUAACAUACAUCUGCCCCAUACCAAAGACAAUAUAAACACAUUAUUUCUAUUGUUUUUGGCUCAUACGGUCCACGUAUGUGUCCACGGCGCGAAAGAUACGCAGCUGUUUAGCAUAGAAAAUGUUAAUUAACAUCAGGCCUUGAACAUUUGCAUUUGGACUUAAUAUUAAAAUGUAAAAUGCGGUAUGCGACUAGCGCAUUUCUGCAAGCUAAGCCAAGGUAUAAGGUGUUAAACUGACUGUUGUUGCAAUCUACAGAUGCCAGUCCUGUUGACAAUGGUAAAUAACAUGUCAGCGUUUUCGUGCAAGACAAAUAAAGUUACUUUGCAACACUGGCAGCUGUCAAGAGGUAGAAAAAAAAAGAAUAUUAAGAAGUAAAUGUAAGGCAGCUUCAAUUAACGCAGUGCACACACACGUUUUUAUUAAACGCAUAUGACACAACUGCCAGGGCAUGUCAGGGAGUAGAACACCUACCCAGAGCAGACCCACUCCCGCCAACCACACCGCGCCUACCCACCGAUAUCGCUUCUGGUCUCUAGGCAAAUGACAGUGGCUUCCAUUAGCGUCAUUUUUGGUGCUGGUUGUUGGGCUUCAUCCUAUUCUUCAGCUCCUGCUACUGCUCUGCCUUUGCCUCGGCGCCGUCUCAAUGUCUGUGCAGCAUUUUGGCAAACAAAUUGCUAAGAAAUAUUUUUUAAAAGCAUUCGUGCCGGGCAAGGGAGAGGGGGCUGUGUGUGGGGAUUACACGUAGCAAGUGCAGAAGCAUUUGACAACUGAGUGGCGGGAAGAGAGUCUACCGAAGUUGUUUCUUCUGCAUUUAGCUGUCAAAAAAAAAAAAAAGAAACCAAAACAACCACGGGAAAAAAACUCGGCUAGCCUGAAAAACCACACGUUUGCAGCACUCACACACACACAGACAUACGCACGCACACACCCUGGCAAGUCUUGACUGACAGCUCAAGUGAAAAACAAAGAUGAGGAAGAAGAUGCACAAUUCGUGCCAAAAUACACCCGGGAUGUGGCCUCAAAAUUCAUACGGCACGAAAAUAUAUUAUGGGAAACAAUCGUCUGUUCCAAGCUGAGGAUAAAGAUAGAGACAGUUUUGCGUUGUUCCAAGUGGGCACACAUCUAAACGACAAGGGGGUGGCGACGUAUCUGGAGUGAAUGUAAAAAGGCUGUGGGUGAAAAGUAGUUGUGGAAAAGGGGGGAGGGGAGCACUGUCUUCAUUGGUUAGCGUAAACUUUUUGCUGCAAUUCAGUUGUCACUUUGACAGCUCACGCAAAGGUUGACGCGGGAGCUGCACGACUAAUCAGCACUGGGAACAGGCAAAGGGAAUACGCACGAGAUGAGCUGCAGGAUAGGGCCACACUGCUGGCGUGGUGGGGAUGGGGAGGGAGUUUUGGGAAAAUCCUAACUCAAUUAUUGGCAGGCACGAUACGAAACCAAUUGCAUUGAUGGCAGCUGGAAAAAAAUGAAUGAAAGACACCCAACACGUGGACACAUUCAUUUGGACUUUUAGGUCAAAAGCUGCCUGAACUGAAUAAUGCCUGAAAUGAAAGAUUGGAAAAUGAACUUUGCAAAUAUAUACUUAAAUUCCA